This 678-nucleotide ribosomal RNA is filed under the name uncultured Alphaproteobacteria bacterium. RNAcentral describes it as "bacterial SSU rRNA". It matches the Rfam family "Bacterial small subunit ribosomal RNA", at positions 150 to 868 of the family's 1533-position model. The record is from RNAcentral. Lineage: Bacteria; Pseudomonadati; Pseudomonadota; Alphaproteobacteria.
CAGGAAACUUGUGCUAAUACCGGAUAAGUCUUUACGGAGAAAGCUUUAUGCACCAUUGGAUGAGCCUGCACUUGAUUAGUUUGUUGGUGUGGUAAUGGCCUACCAAGACUGUGAUCAAUAGCUGAUUUGAGAGGAUGAUCAGCCACAUUGGGACUGAGACACGGCCCAAACUCCUACGGGAGGCAGCAGUGGGGAAUCUUGCACAAUGGAGGAAACUCUGAUGCAGCGAUGCCGCGUGAGUGAAGAAGGCCUUUGGGUUGUAAAGCUCUUUCGUCGGGGAAGAAAAUGACUGUACCCGAAUAAGAAGGUCCGGCUAACUUCGUGCCAGCAGCCGCGGUAAUACGAAGGGACCUAGCGUAGUUCGGAAUUACUGGGCUUAAGGAGUUCGUAGGUGGUUGAAAAAGUUGGUGGUGAAAUCCCAGAGCUUAACUCUGGAACUGCCAUCAAAACUUUUCAGCUAGAGUAUGAUAGAGGAAAGCAGAAUUUCUAGUGUAGAGGUGAAAUUCGUAGAUAUUAGAAAGAAUACCAAUUGCGAAGGCAGCUUUCUGGAUCAUAACUGACACUGAAGAACGAAAGCAUGGGUAGCGAAGAGGAUUAGAUACCCUCCGUGUCAUGGCCGAAACGAUAUGUGUUAGACGUUGGCAAUUUAUUUCAGCGUGGAGAGAAAGGAAAAACACG